RNAcentral lists this ribosomal RNA (358 nucleotides) under Lactobacillus sp. GTH30. RNAcentral's name for it is "partial 16S ribosomal RNA". The stretch from base 73 to 358 matches the Rfam family "Bacterial small subunit ribosomal RNA", at positions 1 to 527 of the family's 1533-position model. The record is from RNAcentral. Lineage: Bacteria; Bacillati; Bacillota; Bacilli; Lactobacillales; Lactobacillaceae.
GUUNUUAGCCGUGGCUUUCUGGUUGGAUACCGUCACGCCGACAACAGUUACUCUGCCGACCAUUCUUCUCCAACAACAGAGUUUUACGACCCGAAAGCCUUCUUCACUCACGCGGCGUUGCUCCAUCAGACUUGCGUCCAUUGUGGAAGAUUCCCUACUGCUGCCUCCCGUAGGAGUAGGGGGAAUCUUCCACAAUGGACGCANGUCUGAUGGAGCAACGCCGCGUGAGUGAAGAAGGCUUUCGGGUCGUAAAACUCUNUUGUUGGAGAAGAAUGGUCGGCAGAGUAACUGUUGUCGGCNNGACGGUNUCCAACCAGAAAGCCACGGNUAACUACNUGCCAGCAGCCGCGGUAAUACA